Molecule: small nucleolar RNA, 106 nt
Organism: Zingiber officinale
Lineage: Eukaryota; Viridiplantae; Streptophyta; Magnoliopsida; Zingiberales; Zingiberaceae
Source: RefSeq, a predicted model, not a curated record
AAACCAUGGUAGGGGCACUGUCUUAGCAAACUCUUAAAUCUACCCCAUGCUUCAAUAAUGAUUCUCUAUCUUCCUAAGAAAAAUAUGUCACGCCCCAGAGGAGUCC